AUUGAACGCUGGCGGCAGGCUUAACACAUGCAAGUCGAACGAUGACUAACUAGCUUGCUCGUUAUGAUUAGUGGCGGACGGGUGAGUAACAUUUAGGAAUCUGCCUAGUAGUGGGGGAUAGCUCGGGGAAACUCGAAUUAAUACCGCAUACGACCUACGGGUGAAAGGGGGCGCAAGCUCUUGCUAUUAGAUGAGCCUAAAUCAGAUUAGCUAGUUGGUGGGGUAAAGGCCUACCAAGGCGACGAUCUGUAACUGGUCUGAGAGGAUGAUCAGUCACACCGGAACUGAGACACGGUCCGGACUCCUACGGGAGGCAGCAGUGGGGAAUAUUGGACAAUGGGGGCAACCCUGAUCCAGCCAUGCCGCGUGUGUGAAGAAGGCCUUUUGGUUGUAAAGCACUUUAAGCAGGGAGGAGAGGCUAAUGGUUAAUACCCAUUAGAUUAGACGUUACCUGCAGAAUAAGCACCGGCUAACUCUGUG
RNAcentral lists this ribosomal RNA (480 nucleotides) under uncultured bacterium. RNAcentral's name for it is "partial 16S ribosomal RNA". It matches the Rfam family "Bacterial small subunit ribosomal RNA", at positions 30 to 507 of the family's 1533-position model. The record is from RNAcentral.